CAUUUAAUUGUAGUAUUGUUGUGGAUGUUUUGCAUUUUUAACUUCUUUAAAACAGAUAAAAAUAAAUUUCCAGUAUGGAUUUCAUAAUUACUGGUAUAUUAAAAUUAGUUGAAAAUUUGCAAACACAUAUAAAGAAAAUAGAAAAUAUACAGUACAUUCAAAAGGAAAUAGGAAAUGUUAAUUUCCAGUUGGUGUAUUUGUGUGUUAAAAGUAAUAUCUUUGUGAGUGGAGCUGUAUGUGAACUGUACAUAAUAAGUGUGUUUACCCCUUUAAGUGAAUUACUCAGAGAGCUGUGUGGUUCAGCCUAUUUGGUGAACUAAUAAAAACAGGAGGCUGCGUUUUAUACUAUGUUUCCUUGGCAGUGGCGGAGGCAAUGGCAUGAGUGAGAAAGAGAGAGAGAGAGGAAAAAAAUCAAACUCAUUUUUAUCUGGUCAAGAGAAAAUCUACUAUUGAAUGUUUUUGAGGAGCAGAACGUACAAGCAUUUUGAAGAACAAGAAGCAUGCCAGUGUGUAGAAGUAGUGAAAUGAGAACUUCCUGAAUAUGGCUCCAUUGCAAAUAUGAAUGAUUGGGAUUCAUGUCAGAAAACACCACACAACACCUAUCUUUAAAGGAGAUAUAAAAAGAUGUUACCAAGUAGUAUCACCACUUGGCCAUGUCGGAGGAACUAAAUCAAAGAAAAGACAUGGACUGGAGAAGACGCCAAGAAAACCACAUAUUUAAUGGUUUCCUCAAAAGUUCAGAAGCCACUCAUUUGGAGGAACAGCAAUGGCUACAACAAGACGGCACUGGCUAUUCCCACCAAAUCACCACUAUAAAAGGUGCAUUUCCUAUGAAUCAAAGCUGGACUUGCGUUCCAGCAAAAAGUGUAACGGGUAUCACUGUAGUCUGCUAACACGUAUAUCUCCAUUACACCAUACUUUUGGCAAUAUAUGGGGAUUAUCACAUCUAGUAUGACAAAUAUGUGUCAUCUCUUGGGGUUCCCCUUACAUUGUUUACUACUUUUAGUUUCAAAUUAGUACACCACUUGACUUUAUACAGUGCAACAUAAAGGAAACUGACAAUAAACACGAGGUGCCUUCUGUACAGUUUCAUUUUUAACUUAUUUUUAGCAAAAGUAAAA
Long non-coding RNA from Polypterus senegalus (gray bichir), 1121 nucleotides. RefSeq lists it as uncharacterized. NCBI's taxonomy places the organism in Eukaryota, Metazoa, Chordata, Cladistia, Polypteriformes, Polypteridae. The transcript is spliced from 3 exons. The record is from RefSeq and is a predicted model, not a curated record.